GUGCUUGCUUUGCAACACAUGUACUAAAAUUGGAACAAUAUAGAGAAGAUUAGCAUGGCCCCUGCACAAGGAUGACAUGCAAAUUUGUGAAACAUUCUAUAGUUUU
Nycticebus coucang (slow loris) is the source of this 106-nucleotide small nuclear RNA. Lineage: Eukaryota; Metazoa; Chordata; Mammalia; Primates; Lorisidae. The record is from RefSeq and is a predicted model, not a curated record.